GUGGCACGUGGAGUUGCGUCCGUAAUCCCGUAUCGGAAUAAAUUCUAUAUUUUUUAUUGACCUUCGCUCGUACCGUGAUAUGAUCGUUUAAUCGUUUCAUAUGAAAUUUAGAUGUAACUGCUACAAGAAAUAGAUUAAUUAUCAAAUCGUUCGAGUAAUAGAAUCAGGAAAAACUUUGGGGGAAUGAAACCAUAUUAACAGAAUAGAAUUAGAAUUGUGACAAGUCUUUAAGAAUUAAAAAAGAAUAAUUUAAGUGUGUGCUAUAGGAAGAGAAAAAAGAAUGAUGAUUUCGUGAGAAUUAAAAGAAGAUAAUUUAUGAUACUAUUUGAUUGCAAUCGUGUCAAGAUCGAUGACUAAGAACGCUUACAACAAGUAAGUGGUAUAGUGUUCUAAAUCAUGUACUCGUCUUGCUGCGAUU
Molecule: long non-coding RNA, 418 nt
Organism: Acromyrmex echinatior (Panamanian leafcutter ant)
Lineage: Eukaryota; Metazoa; Arthropoda; Insecta; Hymenoptera; Formicidae
Source: RefSeq, a predicted model, not a curated record